This is a long non-coding RNA of Thunnus maccoyii (southern bluefin tuna), 329 nucleotides long. RefSeq lists it as uncharacterized. The record is from RefSeq and is a predicted model, not a curated record. Lineage: Eukaryota; Metazoa; Chordata; Actinopteri; Scombriformes; Scombridae. The transcript is spliced from 3 exons.
UGUACAUCAGUGUAAUUUCCAACUUUCUAAAUACCUUUUUUACAUCCAGCUUCAGGCUACUGCUGCUGCUGUGUGUUUGCUUUAAAUUUAACAUCACAAGUCUUGUGGAAAACCACAUCUGGGAACAUUACUACAUGUAAAGUAUGACCAUCUCAUUGGCUGGGUCGCUGAUGGAUGUCCCGGGGACGGGAGCCUCUACAGACAGGACUCCAUCACCAGACAGCGAGGAGCUGAUAUGCUAACUGAGAGCCCUCUCCAGAGCAUAUCUCAGACGCCUGAUUUUCAAGCGGAUCUUCUGGACUCUCGGGGACAGAAAACACUGGAAUAAA